UACAUGCAAGUCGAACGCGUCUCCGUUAAUGAUUUUAGGUGCUUGCACUUGAAAGAUUUAACAUUGAGACGAGUGGCGAACUGGUGAGUAACACGUGGGUAACCUGCCCUUGAAGUAGGGGAUAACACUUGGAAACAGGUGCUAAUACCGUAUAACAACCAAAACCACCUGGUUUUGGUUUAAAAGACGGCUUCGGCUGUCACUUUAGGAUGGACCCGCGGCGUAUUAGCUUGUUGGUAAGGUAACGGCCUACCAAGGCGAUGAUACGUAGCCGACCUGAGAGGGUAAUCGGCCACAUUGGGACUGAGACACGGCCCAAACUCCUACGGGAGGCAGCAGUAGGGAAUCUUCCACAAUGGACGAAAGUCUGAUGGAGCAACGCCGCGUGAGUGAUGAAGGGUUUCGGCUCGUAAAACUCUGUUGUUGGAGAAGAACAGGUGUCAGAGUAACUGUUGACAUCUUGACGGUAUCCAACCAGAAAGCCACGGCUAACUACGUGCCAGCAGCCGCGGUAAUACGUAGGUGGCAAGCGUUGUCCGGAUUUAUUGGGCGUAAAGCGAGCGCAGGCGGUUUUUUAGGUCUGAUGUGAAAGCCUUCGGCUUAACCGGAGAAGUGCAUCGGAAACCGGGAGACUUGAGUGCAGAAGAGGACAGUGGAACUCCAUGUGUAGCGGUGAAAUGCGUAGAUAUAUGGAAGAACACCAGUGGCGAAGGCGGCUGUCUGGUCUGUAACUGACGCUGAGGCUCGA
Molecule: ribosomal RNA, 748 nt
Filed under: Lentilactobacillus buchneri
Lineage: Bacteria; Bacillati; Bacillota; Bacilli; Lactobacillales; Lactobacillaceae
Description: bacterial SSU rRNA
Rfam family: Bacterial small subunit ribosomal RNA
Source: RNAcentral